UACGGGGGGGGCAAGCGUUGUUCGGAAUUACUGGGCGUAAAGGGUUCGUAGGCGGCCAAGUAAGUCAGACGUGAAAUCCCCAGGCUCAACCUGGGAACUGCGUCUGAUACUGGAUGGCUUGAAUUCGGGAGAGGGAUGCAGAAUUCCAGGUGUAGCGGUGAAAUGCGUAGAUAUCUGGAGGAAUACCGGUGGCGAAGGCGGGUCUCUGGGCAGUAACUGACGCUGAGGAGCGAAAGCGUGGGGAGCGAACAGG
This 253-nucleotide ribosomal RNA is filed under the name uncultured bacterium. RNAcentral's name for it is "partial 16S ribosomal RNA". It matches the Rfam family "Bacterial small subunit ribosomal RNA", at positions 524 to 776 of the family's 1533-position model. The record is from RNAcentral.